This 261-nucleotide ribosomal RNA is filed under the name uncultured archaeon. Its description in RNAcentral is "partial 16S ribosomal RNA". It matches the Rfam family "Archaeal small subunit ribosomal RNA", at positions 748 to 1008 of the family's 1478-position model. The record is from RNAcentral.
AGGGUGUAAACGCUGCAGACUUGGUGUUGGAGGCCCUUUGGGGGCAUUCAGUGCCGGAGAGAAGUUGUUAAGUCUGCUACUUGGGGAGUACGUCCGCAAGGAUGAAACUUAAAGGAAUUGGCGGGGGAGCACCGCAACGGGAGGAGCGUGCGGUUUAAUUGGAUUCAACACCGUAAAACUCACCAGGGAAGACUGUUACAUGAAGGCCGAGAUGAGGACUCUGCUAGAUUUUCAGAGAGGAGGUGCAUGGCGUCAGUGACU